UACGUAGGGGGCAAGCGUUGUUCGGAAUUACUGGGCGUAAAGGGCGCGUAGGCGGCACGGCAAGUCGGGAGUGAAAGGCCUGGGCUCAACCGAGGAACUGCUUUCGAGACUGCCGAGCUAGAGUGCGGAAGGGGCAACUGGAAUUCCCAGUGUAGCGGUGAAAUGCGUAGAUAUUGGGAAGAACACCGGAGGCGAAGGCGGGUUGCUGGGCCGACACUGACGCUGAGGAGCGAAAGCGUGGGGAGCGAACAGG
RNAcentral lists this ribosomal RNA (253 nucleotides) under uncultured bacterium. RNAcentral's name for it is "partial 16S ribosomal RNA". It matches the Rfam family "Bacterial small subunit ribosomal RNA", at positions 524 to 776 of the family's 1533-position model. The record is from RNAcentral.